This 584-nucleotide ribosomal RNA is filed under the name uncultured bacterium. Its description in RNAcentral is "partial 16S ribosomal RNA". It matches the Rfam family "Bacterial small subunit ribosomal RNA", at positions 355 to 932 of the family's 1533-position model. The record is from RNAcentral.
UGGGGAAUCUUCCGCAAUGGACGAAAGUCUGACGGAGCAACGCCGCGUGAGUGAAGAAGGUUUUCGGAUCGUAAAACUCUGUCUUUUGGGGCGAACGUGAGUAUGGUGAACAAUCAUAGUCAGUGACGGUACCAAAGGAGGAAGCCACGGCUAACUACGUGCCAGCAGCCGCGGUAAUACGUAGGUGGCAAGCGUUGUCCGGAAUUAUUGGGCGUAAAGAGCGCGUAGGCGGGAUAGUCAGUCUGUUGUAAAGUGCGGGGCUCAACCCCGUGAUGGCAAUGGAAACAGCUAUUCUUGAGUGCAGGAGAGGAAAGUGGAAUUCCCAGUGUAGCGGUGAAAUGCGUAGAUAUUGGGAGGAACACCAGUGGCGAAGGCGACUUUCUGGACUGUGUCUGACGCUGAGGCGCGAAAGCCAGGGGAGCGAACGGGAUUAGAUACCCCGGUAGUCCUGGCCGUAAACGAUGGGUACUAGGUGUGGGAGGUAUCGACCCCUUCCGUGCCGGAGUUAACGCAAUAAGUACCCCCGCCUGGGGGGAGUACGGUCGCAAGACUGAAACUUAAAUGAAUUGACGGGGUCAUAGCUG